GACCAAUUUUCCCCCACACACUUCCCCCGCACUCGUUCCCCUCCGGCCCUCCGCCGUGGCCAUGGCCACGGCCGCGGCAACUCUCCCGCUCUUCCAUCCUCCUCCCGCAGUCGUCAAACCUGCAACCCUACACUUGCACGCCGUCCCUCCUCGCACCCAACCUUCACCCCAAAACGCACCCUCACCCUCUCCCCCUCCUCUUCCUCCUCCCGCGCCGCCGCCGCGGCGGGUCCGUCGCCGCCUUCUCCGCGACAACAUCCUCGUCCACAUCCGUAUCCUCCACGCCUUCCUACGACGCCCGCGAGGCGGAGGCCGCCGUCGCGGAGCUCCUCCGCGAGAGCGGCGCCUCCCCGGCCGACGCCGCCGCCAUCGCCGCGCGCGCGCCGGCCUGCGCCGCCAUGCCCGCCGAAGGCGUCCGCGAGCUGGACGAGCUCGGUCUCUGGGCGUCGUGGAGCUCCGGUGCCGGGGCCCUGGUGGGCCGCGGCGGGGACGUCGAUAUGGAGAUGGGGAGGCUCGGGUUCCGGAGGAAGGUGUACCUCAUGGGACGGAGCAGUCGCGACCAUGGCGUGGUGCCGCUCCUUGAGAGCGUCGGGGUGCGGCUCUCCUCCGCAAAGCUCAUCACGCCGUAUGUUGCGACCGCUGGCCUCCCUGUGCUGAUUGAUCGGGUUAAGUUUUUGAAGGAAAUGUUAUUUUCAAGCAGUGAUUAUGCAACAAUAAUUGGAAGGAAUGCUAAGCGCAUGAUGACACACUUAUCAAUACCUGCAGAUGAUGCACUUCAAAGUACUUUAUCAUUUUUUGAAAAAAUGGAGGCUAGGUAUGGUGGUGUUAGCAUGUUGGGACAUGGAGAUUUGUCAUUUCCUUAUCUCAUCGAAUCAUUUCCAAUGCUGCUUCUCUGCUCUGAGGAUAAUCAUCUAAAGCCAUUGAUUGAUUUUCUUGAAUACAUUGGAAUUCCAAAACCAAAUACUGCAUCAGUUCUGCUGUUAUUUCCUCCUAUCAUUCUUUCUGACAUUGAAAAUGAUAUCAAGCCGAGGAUUCAUGAAUGGGAGAAGGCUGGCAUUGAACAAGAAUAUAUUGGGAGGAUGUUGCUGAAGUAUCCAUGGAUCCUUUCAACAGGUGUGAUAGAGAACUACAGCCGGAUUCUUUCAUUCUUCAACCGAAAAAAGAUUUCAGGUACAGUCCUUCUGCGAAAAGUUGGCCUCAUAUUCUUGGCUGCUCUACAAAAAGAAUGAAUUCAAUUCUGGAGUUGUUUGAUGAUCUGGGCAUCAGUAAGAAAAUGGUGGUUCCAGUUAUUACAUCUAGUCCACAGUUGUUGCUGAAAAAACCUAACGAAUUUCUGCAGAUUGUUUUCUUUUUCAGCGAAAUGGGUUUUGAUAAGGAAACAGUGGGAAAGAUUUUGUGUUGUUCUCCUGAAAUAUUUGCUUCAAACGUGGAAAGUACCCUCAAGAAGAAAAUUGACUUUCUUGUUGACUUUGGUGUUUCCAAACAUCAUCUUCCUCGCAUCAUAAGUAUCCAGAGAUUUUAUUGUUGGACACAAAUCAUACUCUGCUUCCCAGAAUUAACUACCUGUUGGAGGUGGGUUUGUCUAAGAAAGACGUGCGCUCAAUGAUCUUUAGAUUUUCCCCACUUCUGGGUUACAGUAUCGAGCUUGUUAUGAAACCAAAGCUUGAAUUUCUGUUAAGGAGCAUGAAGAAACCACUUAAAGCAGUUGUAGAAUAUCCUAGGUACUUCAGUUAUUCACUAGAAGGGAAGAUAAAGCCGCGGUUUCGGGUACUACAGAGUAAAAACAUAGAGUGCAGCUUGACAGACAUGCUUGCAAAGAACGAUGAACUUUUUGCUGACGAGUACUUGGGAACAGGAGGAAUACUUCAGAAACCUCUACCAUGAAGCUAAAGGCAGUUGAUUUUGGACUAAAAUGAAGGGCCAGCCAUGCAAUGCACCAUGCCUGAGCUUUAUGCUUCCACAGAGGAGGCUCUUUUUCAGAUGGGAGUCCACUUCUCCAGUGCUUGGUAUUAAGGAGGUAACACACUACACAUGAAGUUACCUUAACGAAGGUAACAGUUCCGUGUUGACUCAGCAGUUACAAUCAAGGUGAUGAACACCUUGGUUUUUCGCAAUUCGAAGUUUCUUGCUGGCAUGUUAAUUUGUGUUGUCAUAUUGUUCUUUCGGGUUCAGGGCUUCAGGCAAACAAGGGAAAUUUGCAAAAUAAUGUGGUUUGCAGCUAGGAGCAAAUGGAAAAGGGUACUCAACAAUUUACACAUCUGUUGUGUGAAUGGCUACAGGAAUUAGUGCAGGCCAUAAUCCUCGAGGAAUUAUUGGUCAUGCAACCCGUAGUCCCCAUCAUCUCUCUCAUGGAACGAAAGCCUAGCAAUGGCCUCCCAUCCUGCGUUUAAGACGAUCUGGGCUGAGGGCUGACCCAAAGGUGGUUGCCACUACAUUGACCAGCUACAUCAGGGCGUUACUGUUUCACUUCCUGACCAUGGCUGAAAUGCCAAAUGCAGUGCUGCGCUGCUUCCUUGAAACAACCUGCCUGCAUUUUCUGUUUGACAGUUAAAAUGUAUAUGUACAUACAGUCAAUGACGUAGCCUGUGAUUACUAUAGUAGAUGGUCAAAUCGUGAUUACGCCGCCGUCGGAUCAACUGAAUCAGGGCUUGCCUGUAAGAAGCAUAUGAUUAUCUUGUAAAGUUGUAAGGCCUGGUAUUAUGUUGUGAUUUGUGAUGGUAUUUCCAGUCCUCA
Panicum virgatum (switchgrass) is the source of this 2733-nucleotide RNA transcript. It is a transcript of the gene named transcription termination factor MTERF2, chloroplastic-like, with no coding region annotated. The record is from RefSeq and is a predicted model, not a curated record. NCBI's taxonomy places the organism in Eukaryota, Viridiplantae, Streptophyta, Magnoliopsida, Poales, Poaceae. The transcript is spliced from 7 exons.